Molecule: transfer RNA, 130 nt
Filed under: Promethearchaeota archaeon
Lineage: Archaea; Promethearchaeati; Promethearchaeota
Description: Candidatus Lokiarchaeota archaeon tRNA-Ile
Source: RNAcentral
GGGCCAUUUGCUUAGCCUGGUUAACAAGGUUUUAUAUGCUUGGUCAACAAGCGCAGGUCUUAUAAACCUGAGAAAUGAGAAGGGAAUCCUUCUUGGCAGGAAAUCCGGGGUUCAAAUCCCCGAUGGCCCA